This is a long non-coding RNA of Stegastes partitus (bicolor damselfish), 1356 nucleotides long. RefSeq lists it as uncharacterized. Lineage: Eukaryota; Metazoa; Chordata; Actinopteri; Pomacentridae. The transcript has 2 exons. The record is from RefSeq and is a predicted model, not a curated record.
ACUUAUUUCUGUUUCAGUCUUUACAACAUGCUGUGUUCAGUCCUUCCAAGCACAACAAAGUCUGAUGAGAGUCCAGGAGGAGCUGUAGCACCACCUGAUGGAUGAUCCAAAGAUGACACUCAAGUGCAAAGACUAAUGACAAAGCGGUUUCAUAUUGAACUAAUUCAGAAAGAGUAACAGUAAAAACAACGGAGCCCCUCACCUCCACACAUAAUGACACACUUUAACUAAAAAGGAGAGAGGGGAUCCAAGUGUGUGGUUUCAGAGUGGCGCAAGGUAUGAGGUGUUCCAGUUAGAGAACAGGCAGCUGGACUUUCCUGGUUAAUGGCAUUUAUUGCUGGAUUUAGGCAUGGACAACAACAAGAGCUGCGGUGAACUGCUGUACUGUAGAUAGCUGUGGGUCUGAAAUAUUACAAACAGUAAUGAUAAAUUGGUGACGCAUUUUCCAUAAGCACAACCACAAUUAAGAAUACUUUUACAGAGAAACAAGAACAUAAAUGCACAUAAUCACAAUAGCACAAAGUGCAAAAUAUUGUGUAUGGCUCAGCAUUUCAACCACAUUAACUCACAUACGUAACAUGACCAGACACAUGCUGAUAAUUGGCGACUUGCAAGGCCAACAGCUAAACUAAUGUCCGUCACAUGAGAUAGCUAUCAAUAAUAUCAAUGAAAGGAAAAAUACAGCUCAGCACAGCUCUUGAAGCAAAACAUGAGCCGAGUCUAAACAUGUACACGGAAGAAAACUAUGGAAAAAAACAGUAACAUUCAGUUUACUCAAUAAAGGAAAUGCACAUAUUAACAUAAACCAGACAACAUUCUACUCAAAAUAUGAGGGCUUUCUAACGUUAUCUUGUCUUUCAUUAGAUCUCAUGAGCUUGUAACAAUAAUGAUUUACCAAACCAAUCCUUAGAUAUAAUUUCUACUCAAAUAAUAAUAAAAAUCUGUAAAACAACAGCAAAUUGUUACAUUAUAUUUGUGAAAAUGCAAGUCCAAAGACUGAAAAAGUGGUUUAAUAUUCAACUAAUUCAGAAAGAUUAUCAAUAAAAACAACGGAGCCUCUCACCUCCACACAUAAUGACACACUUUAACAUGUCUUUCAUUAGAUCUCAUGAGCUUGUACAAGAUUUACUGAACAGCAUUCCUGCCUUCAAACUGCAGUGAACCGAUGACCAUCAUCCUGUCAGCUUGCAGGGUUUGGUUUUCUGUUUCACUCUCCUGCAGAAUUGGUUUCCAGUUUGAUCGUGCAUGACUCCAGUAUUACUACUGGUCAUUGUGUAGCAUAGAGCAGUUUUACAGUGUCGAAGAUGUAGAGUUGUAGGUGAGAUGGUGGUGCUGUCCUGUUAUUAAAAUGGUUUA